UAAGUGGAUGAAUUUGACUGAUUGCUACCACUCAAAAAAAGGCUAAAGCAGAUU
RNAcentral lists this non-coding RNA (54 nucleotides) under marine eukaryotic metagenome. The record is from RNAcentral.